GAAGUUUGAUAAGUAUCUGAGUUAGUAGGAGGAAUUAAUGUUGCAUGCUUUUUCUUUUUUUCCAGACAUCUCCAGAAGACAUGGAGAACCUCACCUGGACUGCAUACACCUGCAUCAGAGUGUAGAAUGGAAGACAGCAUUUUGCAGAUUAUCAGUAAGGGUCCCUGGAGGAAUGUCUGCAGGAGAGGACCCAUCAUUGGUGGGCCAUGGUUUCCAGAGUACUCCCUGUCAGCCAGUGGUGUGCCCACCACAAAGCAGCAGGUGCCAGGCAUGAGGGAGGAGGCACUUUGCUGCAAGUCCUCAGAUGACUAUGAUGUCCAUGGAAGACCAAGAAAAAGAUGUUGUUUUCCUAGGUUGGCGAUUGAAAAUUGUGUUCCCUUUCCAAAGGAACAUUCAUCUGGUGUCAUGUCAGAAGAUCUGAAAGGGAUUCGUGUAUUGUGUAUGAGGACUUAGUGGCUGCUAAAUCCUUCUCUGAAGGAGAAGUAACAAUACUGUGCUUUGAGGUGAGACUGAUGAAGGGGGAUGCAUGAAAUGAGUAGUCCUUCUGGAGUCUCUUCUAGACCAUGCAGUCCACAGAGUAUUACGCCAGUGGCAAUAGGAGCCUCACUGAGGACAGCUGGAACUGAACACUAUAUAUGUAAUCCUAAAAGAGUGUUUAAGGGAGAAUCACUCAUCACACCUGAAAAAUGAGGAUAGCUUGUUCUAUUGGUUUUGGCCAGCGAGCCGUGCAGCUGGGCACCACCAGUGCCUUCUCUCAUCUCUGCCUCAGAGGCACUGUUAAUCAGGAUUAUCUUUUUAUGGUUUGAACUGUGUCAUUGGUUCCUAGCCCAAAGACACUGGAGUAGUUUUUAAACCCCACUUAUUUCCUUUGGGAAUCUCCUAAUUGCACACAUGGUCCUUCUUAAAAAUGACAUUUAUUUGCAGAGCAUGCUGUUUUCUUCUGUCUGCUCACAACCCAUAUGUUGCAAAACAAGUAAUAAAAAAUGUUUUAGAAGGCUAUGACUUCCCA
Molecule: long non-coding RNA, 1009 nt
Filed under: Numida meleagris (helmeted guineafowl)
Lineage: Eukaryota; Metazoa; Chordata; Aves; Galliformes; Numididae
Description: lncRNA (ENSNMEG00000017880.1)
Source: RNAcentral